CGGACGGGUGAGUAACGCGUGAGAAUCUGGCUUCAGGUCUGGGACAACCACUGGAAACGGUGGCUAAUACCGGAUGUGCCGAGAGGUGAAAGGUUAACUGCCUGAAGAUGAGCUCGCGUCUGAUUAGCUAGUUGGAAGUGUAAUGGACUCCCAAGGCGACGAUCAGUAGCUGGUCUGAGAGGACGAUCAGCCACACUGGGACUGAGACACGGCCCAGACUCCUACGGGAGGCAGCAGUGGGGAAUUUUCCGCAAUGGGCGAAAGCCUGACGGAGCAAUACCGCGUGAGGGGGGAAGGCUCUUGGGUCGUAAACCUCUUUUCUCAGGGAAGAACACAAUGACGGUACCUGAGGAAUAAGCAUCGGCUAACUCCGUGCCAGCAGCCGCGGUAAUACGGAGGAUGCAAGCGUUAUCCGGAAUGAUUGGGCGUAAAGCGUCCGCAGGUGGCGAUGUAAGUCUGCUGUUAAAGCGUCUAGCUCAACUAGAUAAAAGCAGUGGAAACUACAUAGCUAGAGUGCGUUCGGGGCAGAGGGAAUUCCUGGUGUAGCGGUGAAAUGCGUAGAGAUCAGGAAGAACACCGGUGGCGAAGGCGCUCUGCUAGGCCGUAACUGACACUGAGGGACGAAAGCUAGGGGAGCGAAUGGGAUUAGAUACCCCAGUAGUC
This 663-nucleotide ribosomal RNA is filed under the name uncultured cyanobacterium. RNAcentral's name for it is "bacterial SSU rRNA". It matches the Rfam family "Bacterial small subunit ribosomal RNA", at positions 99 to 795 of the family's 1533-position model. The record is from RNAcentral. Lineage: Bacteria; Bacillati; Cyanobacteriota.